Phyllopteryx taeniolatus (common seadragon) is the source of this 4113-nucleotide long non-coding RNA. RefSeq lists it as uncharacterized. The record is from RefSeq and is a predicted model, not a curated record. The transcript has 3 exons. Lineage: Eukaryota; Metazoa; Chordata; Actinopteri; Syngnathiformes; Syngnathidae.
CGCCUUAGCCUCUCUUCAAAUGUGUGUGUGUGUGUGUGUGUGUCUGUGUGUGUGUGUGAGAUGACGUGUGUAUGUGUAUCACACGAACACACACACACAUUUACACUGACACGCACGCAAGUACUGGGAGAGAAACGAGCACCUCCUUCGCAGGGAGCUUCAUGGUCUGCCAACUCCUCGAGUGGAUUGUUCCAAAUUAGUAUGCAUUAGGUGGUUAGUGCAAAGCAUUUAAUUAUGCAAGAUGGCACUAAACUGCCUAUGUUAUGAUUAGCCCAACACGUUACACCCUUAAUUCUUCAUUUUUCCCCCUGCUCUGUCUCUCAGUGUGUGGGGGUGGUGGUAGGCUGGUGGAGGAGGAGCAUGCUCUCUUAUUCCCCUUAGAAGCAUCCCUUGUAUCUCUGGAAUUCUCUCUCUAGAAGCAUUUGUUAUAUUUCCUCUCUUUGCGUGUCUCCUUUGUGCGCCCCAUGAUAUUGUUAGAUGAUUUAGAAUUAAGCAGCUUGCUUCUAUGCACGUAUCCUGCUUUGGUUUUUGCUCGACCGCCUUUCAUGGUAGGCAAACCGCAAAAAUCUCGGGCAGUGGCGCUGAGGCACUGUGAGAGCGAGGGAGGCCGUCUGUAGUUGCUGAAGAACCCCAGCAGCUCCCCGGAGGAGCCCAUUAUCCAGAAAAGAUAUCAAACCAUGAAUCAUUUACGCUCGUCCUCCCCGGGCUUCUUCUACCACUGCACACCUUCAUGACGCCCAACUGGCCGGCCACACGCUUUCCCUCUCUCGCUGCAUCUUUAAUAAAUGAUAAUUGAAUUUGAUCAAAAUUGGCUCCGGUAAUUUAUGUAUUAUUGAUUAUCAACAUGUUGCCUCCAUCAUGGAUGAAUGUUUUUUUUGUCACUAGUUAGAAAAUCAAUGGACUGUAAGUCGACUGAUUGUGUAAUGUAUGUCCUGGUGGUGAGUAUUCACACUAACGCUAUUUUACGUCGUAAAUUAUUUUCUUUUUGUGUCAGUGCUUAGUUGUGCACCGUUAAAAUCAUUUUUAGGGCCCAAGCAAGCAGUAUAAAGGCUCUCUUGAAAUUGCGUCAUUCCUUUGUAGAUAUUAUUCUCAGGCCAAAUACAUUUUGAGGGCUUUCCCAUACACAAAACUGCAGGGCAAUUGGCAAAAUUUCUUGGCACCACCCCAUGGAUUUUGUUGUUGUUGUAAAUCUAUCCUCCUCGUUACACUUAGGCCCACCGCACGCCGAGUGAAACGGCUGAAUGUGACUGACCUGGUCAUUCGCGAAAAAAAUACACUCGGCGACUCACAACUGCACACCAGAUGACUGACCCUGUCACUUAUAGCAACCCGCUACAACGGAAAAACUGCAACCCCUUGGCGUUCUUAUUUGGAAGCAAUGUUUUGAGGCGCUUGUAUUAUUUUUGUAUUGAACCACAAACAUAGUACGAUUGUGAAGGAAGAAGCGGAUUGCCCUGGCUGCUGUAGCUCGAUUAGAAUAAUACACAGAGAGGAAACGGGAGAGCUCAAGGAGAGCCUGUCAAUGUUUGAGAGGCUGUUGGCUGCAUUCCUUGACUGCACCCAUGCAUUUUGGUGACAGAAACUCUGCACACUUUGCUUUUUCAGCUACAGUUGCAUGAAAUUAUAUAGUAAUAUUGCAAAACGCUCUAUCUAUCUAUCUAUCUAUCUCUAUCUCUAUCUCUAUCUCUCUCUAUCUCUCUCUCUCUCUCUAUCUCUCUCUAUCUCUCGCUCUCUCUACACACACACUGUAUUGGGUGUGGCUCAGUUGCAGCCAAAUUGUGAAAUUUAUGUGACACGUCACGGCAUUUUUUAUUUUUUAUUAAUUGGCUCUUACAUCUGUGACAUUGCGACAUCUUUUACCUGCAGUUAAAAUUUCAAUUGGCAGCAAAGCUAGUAGCCGACGGUUGGCCACUCAUGAAAACUAGUUGCUCACACACUGCGUGAAAAGUUCAGUCAGCCGCGUCACUGUGUGCGCGACGGGCCUUCGGAACAUGCAAUUUUGAAAAUUGUAAAUUUAAUUUCUACUAUGAAUACACUCACACAGUGAAACAGGAAGUAUAGUAGUGUGGUUUGAAGCGGCCAUUUUAGGUUCAUUUUGUCCAUUUCCAAGGGACCUUUCAAAAACAAACUUGCCCUGUCCUUCAGCUUUUUUCAUCAAUUGCUACUAAAUUUAAACCACAUAUACUUGACAGAUGUGUCACUCAAAAGAAAAAAAAAAAAAGAAAAACGCCAGUGGAUUCAAAGUAGACUGAAUGUCUAAAGAAGUUAAUUAGUGCCUCACUGCUGACAUGAAUGUGUACAUAUAAUCACUCUGCUCUGAUCUGAGCUAAUUCUUUCCUACUCUCUAUACUUGCCUGGAGUCCUCCGUGUAGUAUAUCUCCUGACUUUGAUGGGAGUGGGGAUGCAGUCUUUAUCACAUGUAAUAACUCAUCAGAUAUAAACUCAAUUAAAAGACAAUAUGCAUCUCCAAAUUGAGAUAAAUUAACGAUGACUUCUUUCUGCUAAAACAGUUAACGCUUUGUCUGGAAGAAGAUCAAAGCUAGGGUGAUAGACUGGAAAGCCAUGAUGUGACAAUGAUGUCAAUGCAUCACCAGAAACUUACAAAGCGCCCCGUUAGCUUGCUAUGCUGUCAUCACUGUGCUGCCCACAGCCUUUAGGAAGCCUAUUUUUGUGGUAUCUGGAUCGCUGUGACAUUCUAUGGUGGCUAUUUCCCACUGUAAUUCACGCAGGUAGGCGGCGUGUUUGCAUAAUGGUUAGCACUGUGUUUUGUAGGACGUAUCUGUACACCAGGGCAUAUAAUACCAUGUAUUUGGUUUUAUUUUUUAUCAUACUUUCUCCUAUGUAUGACACAUCAGACUAUGUAAUUCCUUUGUAACAUAUUUGGUACACAGACAGAUGUCAUAUUGCAUUAAUUUCCUUGUUUCUCAAUCAAUAUCAUUGCAAUACAGUAAUACCCACUUUUUGCGGUGGGUAGGGACCUAGCCCUGGUGCGGAUAAAAUAGAAAAUAGAAUGGAAAAAAACGCAAGCAAUUGAAGGAAUGUGACUGACCUGGUCAAUCGUGAAAAAAAAUACAGUUGGCAACUCACAACUGCACACCAGGCGACUGACCCUGUAACUUAUACCAACUCGCUGCAACGGAAAAACUGCAACCCCUUGAUGUUCUUAUUGGGAAGCAAUGUUUUGAGGCACUUGUAUUAUUUUUGUAUUGAACCACAAACAUAGUACGAUUGUGAAGGAAGAAGCGGAUUGCCCUGGCUGCUCUAGCUCGAUUUUAAUAACACAAAGAGAGGAAACGGGAGAGAUAAAGGAGAGCCUGUCAAUGUUUGAGACGCUGUUGGCUGCAUUCCUUGACUGUACUGGACUGUAUUUUGGCGACAGAGACUCUCCAUUCUUCGGUUUUUUACAGCUAGUGAUGGGACGCACAACACUGGCACGUCAGCACUGUGCCGAGCACACAAGAGUGAAACCCCGUAUUGGUGCGUGUAUCGCUUUAAGAAAAAAAAAAUCAUGUGACCUAUACAGGAAGUGUGUCGUUUGGAUGUGCCGCGCCAAGUUGUGUUUAUAAGGAAACAAACUGUGUCGACAUGUUGCGGAUUUGUUGGAUGGAGUUUUGCUGUUACUGUUGUAUUUUGGAUUUUUGCUUGCCCUCACCUUGUUCCACUGACUUCAUGGAUCGUUCCAAGAAGUUUUCCCCAGUCUGGAAUAAUUUUGAUCUUUUGAUGCCAAAUAAGUGUCGGCUCUGCUCCACAGAGCUAUCUUACAUCAAUAAGAACACUUCAUCAAUGCUCAGGCAUUAUAGAGCUCGGCAUGGCAAUGAAGAAUGGGCAGAUACUCGUGUGAGUACCCCAGUUCCUAACAAGCAAGCAGUGGAUGAGGCUGUGGUCAACAUGAUCAUCAAACACUGUCAGCCACUCACUAUUGUUGACAAUGAGGGAUUCAGGGAGCUCCUGAAGUUUAUCAACUCACACUUAAAUUUUUAUGCUCACCAUCUUCAUCUGUACCCUGUGAGAGUUUUUUUCUAAGGCAGGGGAACUGGUGUCUAAGAGGAGAAAUCGCCUUGGAGCAAAGACGCUUCAAAAACGUUUGUUCCUCAAUAAAAAUGCAUAAAUCCA